AUACGGAGGGGGCUAGCGUUGUUCGGAAUUACUGGGCGUAAAGCGUACGUAGGCGGACUGAUCAGUUGGGGGUGAAAUCCCAGGGCUUAACCCUGGAACUGCCUUCAAUACUGUCAGUCUUGAGAUUGGAAGAGGUGAGUGGAAUUCCUAGUGUAGAGGUGAAAUUCAUAGAUAUUAGGAGGAACACCAGUGGCGAAGGCGGCUCACUGGUCCAAUACUGACGCUGAGGUACGAAAGCGUGGGGAGCAAACAGGAGUAGAUACCCGAGUAGUCC
RNAcentral lists this ribosomal RNA (274 nucleotides) under uncultured bacterium. RNAcentral describes it as "partial 16S ribosomal RNA". It matches the Rfam family "Bacterial small subunit ribosomal RNA", at positions 523 to 796 of the family's 1533-position model. The record is from RNAcentral.